Molecule: ribosomal RNA, 425 nt
Filed under: uncultured bacterium
Lineage: Bacteria
Description: partial 16S ribosomal RNA
Rfam family: Bacterial small subunit ribosomal RNA
Source: RNAcentral
GUGGGGAAUCUUGCGCAAUGGGCGAAAGCCUGACGCAGCCAUGCCGCGUGAAUGAUGAAGGUCUUAGGAUUGUAUAAUUCUUUCACCGGGGACGAUAAUGACGGUACCCGGAGAAGAAGCUCCGGCUAACUUCGUGCCAGCAGCCGCGGUAAUACGAAGGGGGCUAGCGUUGCUCGGAAUUACUGGGCGUAAAGGGCGCGUAGGCGGACAGCUUAGUCAGAGGUGAAAGCCCAGGGCUCAACCUUGGAAUUGCCUUUGAUACUGGCUGUCUUGAGUUUGGGAGAGGUGAGUGGAACUCCGAGUGUAGAGGUGAAAUUCGUAGAUAUUCGGAAGAACACCAGUGGCGAAGGCGACUCACUGGCCCAAUACUGACGCUGAGGCGCGAAAGCGUGGGGAGCAAACAGGAUUAGAUACCCCGGUAGUCC